RNAcentral lists this ribosomal RNA (296 nucleotides) under uncultured microorganism. RNAcentral describes it as "partial 16S ribosomal RNA". It matches the Rfam family "Bacterial small subunit ribosomal RNA", at positions 505 to 796 of the family's 1533-position model. The record is from RNAcentral.
GUGCCAGCAGCCGCGGUAAUACGUAGGUGGCAAGCGUUGUCCGGAUUUAUUGGGCGUAAAGCGAGCGCAGGCGGUCAAUUAAGUUCUGAUGUGAAAGCCCCCGGCUUCAACCGGGGAGGGGUCAUUGGAAACUGGUUGACUUUAGUGCAGAAGAGGAGAGUGGAAUUCCAUGUGUAGCGGUGAAAUGCGUAGAUAUAUGGAGGAACACCAGUGGCGAAGGCGACUCCUCUGGUCUGUAACUGACGCUGAGGCUCGAAAGCGUGGGUAGCAAACAGGAUUAGAUACCCUGGUAGUCC